This is a long non-coding RNA of Cygnus olor (mute swan), 2898 nucleotides long. RefSeq lists it as uncharacterized. The transcript has 5 exons. NCBI's taxonomy places the organism in Eukaryota, Metazoa, Chordata, Aves, Anseriformes, Anatidae. The record is from RefSeq and is a predicted model, not a curated record.
GGAGAUCACAAUACCUCUCCACUGCAAACACAGUAAUGGAAAGGGCCACACUGGAGUUCAACAUGACUCCUAAAGCACUCAUAAUUAUUUAAAUCUGCAGUAUUUUCUGAUAACAGAUCUGUACCCCAUCAGUCCACAGAUGUUUUUCAUAAGAACCUCUAAAGAUGCUUCCAUUUUCCAUUAAAUUCUGCUGCCUACAGGUGAGGAAAUGAGGAACAGACCCAAAAGAAGGCUGGGCUAGGUGGUGUCUUGCUGGCUUGCAAACCUGAGGCUUGUAAACCUCACCACCAGGUGUCAGCAACUAUUAAUAAUGCUAAAGCUGGAGGGGCUGGCCCUGGGUAGGGUGCUUAGCACCCAGACCAUCUCCUACUAGCACAACCAGAAAGCCUAAGGUCUUGCAAAGUCCGUGGAGAACAGUGAGUGGAAAAUGUGUCUUCAGGAAGAUACAGCCAAGAUACUGGAGUUGCCCAUGGCUUUCCAGGAAGACAAGAAGGACUUGAGCUCUCCAUCCAGAUGGAUUCCCGAGCUAUCAGGAGGAGAGGUGUGCGGGGAGCAGCCGGGAGCGCAGCGUGCCCAGCUCCACGUGCCUCCCACCAGCAGCUCUCGCCUGCCCAGGCACGCAUGGAGCACGCCGUGCUGCCUGAUAGCAUACGAAACCACCAGGUGGCUCUGGCACACCCUGACUCCUGCAUUCAAAUACAAGAGAAAGGUGCAGGACGGGGUGUCAUGACCUCAUUUCAUGGAGCAGGAUGGGACCAUCGCUCCACCAGCUGAGAAAAUGAAUGUGGACCUGCCAUGGACACGCGCUGGAUUUUUCCAGGGGGACACUGUACCUGAGCCACCAGGCAGGUUUAUGGAGGAUCAAAUUUAAGGAUCAUCACGAAGCUUGGCAUCGUGCUGUGGAUUUGGCGAUUAUGCUGCUGGGUCGUUUUUCUUCCGUGGCUUCGUCAGCUUGCCAAGUGCAGGGUUUCGAGAAAGCAGGUAGAUGCAAAGCUGUUACAACACGCCGUGGAAGUGCAGUGGGAGGGAGAUGCUUACUCACGGAACUGUGCCGUGGGCUGGUGAUUCAGAUGCCUGCAUGCCAUCAGCCCCACACCACGGGCUGUGCUGGGGAGGCACGAGCAGGAGGAGGGUGCUGCCGCUCCUGGUAGUGCUCACCCCUGGCACGAGGCAGUGGUGAAGUCAGGGCUGUAUUUGCAUUGUCACGCGAUGCAAUUAGGAAAGAGCUGCUCCGUUGGUGACUGCUGUCUGAACCGGCAAGCCUACAUCAGAAUUGAAACCAUCUCUGCCUGGGCAGAGAUGUUGACAGUGCCACUCGGUUGCCCAAUAGGUUCCUGAUUACAGAUUAAGCUGGUCUGAAGGGAAAAGGAAUACUGCUUGCCCUAAUGAAAAGGUAUGGUUUGUGGGCGAGGAGAAGAAAACUAGAUCAAUGUUCAGAGGUUCUUUGCUGGACUGUGUCAGCUGGAAAAGCUUGGCUGCUGCUGCUAAUUCUUGACGGGCAUGUGGAGAUAAAUAGUAUGUAAGCCAUUCUUCUUCCUUGUGUGAUCUUAGCUAACUGGCUUUUCCCUCAGCCUGCCUUUCUUUACCUAUAAUACCUGCUAUAGCGGUUGAAGAAGUUGGUCAAUCAUUCCAGCAAAAUAGUGUGGGAUUCUCAGCUAUUGCCUGUGUUUAGGCUGUGGUACUGGGGUUAUGUCUGCAUGACCUCUUGCAGGUUCAUGACAGCCUUGACCCUGCUAACCCAGCAGCCCUGUUACAGCUCUGUUUCAUGGUGACUUGGCCAGCCUGUGGUCUGGUACCAGCCUAACUGCCCUUACCACCAGCUAUGCUCAUCUUCCAGCAGCUCUGAGCACAAGGAUUUGGUUCACACCAGACACCAAAGCAUGUUGGGCCCUUAAAAUCCAACACCCAGCAUGAAUCAGGCCCACACACUAAAGCUGCACAGCUCUGAAAGAAGCAGUGCUUUGCUCAGCUGUGAGCACGGGCUUUGUGCUCGUGGUCGUUCCAUGAAUUGAUUAACUAUCAGAGCUUUCCAAAGCAGCUCAACAUCUCACUUGGUUUUAGAAAUCCACAUUUGAAGAACAAAGGUCUGUAUAGAGAUGAAGUGUGAUGAGGGAGAGAAUGUGAAAUGAAACUGCAUGCAAAGGGGAGAACAUUUGUCAGGGCUGCUCUGCGGAGCCAUUAACACGACCACCAAGCUCCAUUUACCUGUCUGGGACACGGGAGCAGUUGCUGGGCCUGUCUGAAUGUACUAGAGAUUAGCAGGGCAGGAAAACACCUGCUUCCACUUAACUGAUCCGAGAGGAAACAAAGGGCAAGAAAAGCUAUGGCCUGAACAACGCAGGAUUGGAUGAAAGCUAAUAUGCAGCUUCAGAUUGGCAGUUGGCAGCCAUAACCCUCAAUUUAAAGCAGCUGAGAGCCCCAGCUCUUUAGAUCUGAAAUCUUGCUGCUAUGAAGAUGAAAGACUUUGUUUUCACUCCUUUUUUUUUUCUUUCUUUUUCUUUUCAUUCAACUGUGGCCAAAUGGGGAGUAGGCAGAUGGGAGUCCAGGCAAACCCAGGUGCUGAGUUGCUGCGCUUGAUAAUAGGCAGCGAGGAGUGGCAGGCAACCCUGCCAGAAGGAAAGGCAGAAAUGUUCAGAUCCUUGUGCAGGAGCUCAGGGACUCCCUUCAGUUUCCCUGGGGGAAAGAUGAGGCUGAUUGGGACUCACUGAUGAGUACAGUAUAGACUUUAGUGUAGAUACGGGAUUGACGUUCUGGUGGUAAAGAAGGGAAUCUGGGGCUUCUCAUUGACUUUGGUGGGUUUUGCUGCUUGGCAUCUCUGCAAGCAAGGCUUUGAGGAAGGUUUUAUAAGUUGGAUUCUCAAAAAUAAUGUACUGGAUCAAAUAGCAUUGAAAAAGUGAA